This 61-nucleotide transfer RNA is filed under the name Calvia championorum. RNAcentral's name for it is "tRNA-Pro". The record is from RNAcentral. Lineage: Eukaryota; Metazoa; Arthropoda; Insecta; Coleoptera; Coccinellidae.
CAGAGGGUAGUUUAAUUAAAAAUAUUAAUUUUGGAGAUUAAAGAUAUUCAUUUUCCUCUGA